CCGGCACGGGUGAGUAACACGUAUCCAACCUGCCGUCUACUCUUGGCCAGCCUUCUGAAAGGAAGAUUAAUCCAGGAUGGCAUCAUGAGUUCACAUGUCCGCAUGAUUAAAGGUAUUUUCCGGUAGACGAUGGGGAUGCGUUCCAUUAGAUAGUAGGCGGGGUAACGGCCCACCUAGUCAACGAUGGACAGGGGUUCUGAGAGGAAGGUCCCCCACAUUGGAACUGAGACACGGUCCAA
This 239-nucleotide ribosomal RNA is filed under the name uncultured bacterium. RNAcentral describes it as "partial 16S ribosomal RNA". It matches the Rfam family "Bacterial small subunit ribosomal RNA", at positions 100 to 334 of the family's 1533-position model. The record is from RNAcentral.